UAGGGAAUCUUCGGCAAUGGACGCAAGUCUGACCGAGCAAUGCCGCGUGAGUGAGGAAGGCCCUCGGGUCGUAAAGCUCUGUUAUCAGGGAAGAACGCUGAGGAGAGUAACUGCUCUUCAGGUGACGGUACCUGAGAAGAAAGCCCCGGCUAACUACGUGCCAGCAGCCGCGGUAAUACGUAGGGGGCAAGCGUUGUCCGGAAUUAGUGGGCGUAAAGCGCGCGCAGGCGGCUAUUUAAGUCUCAUGUAUAAACCCAGGGCUCAACCUUGGAUCGCAUGGGAAACUGGGUGGCUUGAGUGUAGGAGAGGAAAGUGGAAUUCCACGUGUAGCGGUGAAAUGCGUAGAUAUGUGGAGGAACACCAGUGGCGAAGGCGACUUUCUGGCCUAUAACUGACGCUGAGGCGCGAAAGCGUGGGGAGCAAACAGG
This 428-nucleotide ribosomal RNA is filed under the name uncultured bacterium. RNAcentral describes it as "bacterial SSU rRNA". It matches the Rfam family "Bacterial small subunit ribosomal RNA", at positions 355 to 776 of the family's 1533-position model. The record is from RNAcentral.